CCAGACUCCUACGGGAGGCAGCAGUGGGGGAUAUUGCACAAUGGGGGAAACCCUGAUGCAGCGACGCCGCGUGAGUGAAGAAGUAUUUCGGUAUGUAAAGCUCUAUCAGCAGGGAAGAAAAUGACAGUACCUGACCAAGAAGCCCCGGCUAACUACGUGCCAGCAGCCGCGGUAAUACGUAGGGGGCAAGCGUUAUCCGGAUUUACUGGGUGUAAAGGGAGCGUAGACGGUUAUGUAAGUCUGGAGUGAAAGCCCGGGGCCCAACCCCGGGACUGCUUUGGAAACUGUGUAACUGGAGUACAGGAGGGGCAGGCGGAAUUCCUGGUGUAGCGGUGAAAUGCGUAGAUAUUAGGAGGAACACCGGUGGCGAAGGCGGCUUACUGGACUGUAACUGACGUUGAGGCUCGAAAGCGUGGGGAGCAAACAGGAUUAGAUACCCGUGUA
This 444-nucleotide ribosomal RNA is filed under the name uncultured bacterium. RNAcentral's name for it is "bacterial SSU rRNA". It matches the Rfam family "Bacterial small subunit ribosomal RNA", at positions 331 to 792 of the family's 1533-position model. The record is from RNAcentral.